RNAcentral lists this long non-coding RNA (27189 nucleotides) under Homo sapiens (human). Its description in RNAcentral is "non-protein coding ITGA9-AS1:39". Lineage: Eukaryota; Metazoa; Chordata; Mammalia; Primates; Hominidae. The record is from RNAcentral.
CUCCGCCGCGGGCUCUGCCCGCUCGCCUGCUCGCCUGGUGGGGGAGAGGGGAGCGGGGCCGACACAGGGUGAGUGGAGGGCGGGAGGGGGCGGCCGCGCGCGCGGGGGCCCGGGGCAGUUGAGUGGGGUGAGGGGCUCGGGGUGUAGCGGACGGCAGAGGGGCUCGGGGGGUUAGAAGUGAGGGGUGUCAGGGGGGCCUGGCAGAAUGAGUGAGGUGAGAGGCCUGGGGUGUGAGAGAUGUGGGGAGGAGUCUGAGGCAGAUGGGUGGGGUGAGGGGAGCGGGGGGAUUCGCGGGGGCCCGUGGGGGGCACUGGAAGGAUUCGGAAGGGUGCAGUGUGGGAGCCCGGGGGCCGAGGGGGCAUGGCAUGGAGGCAGGAGCGAGGAAGGGGGCCCGAGGAGGGAUAUUUACCGCGAGGAGGCGCGGGAAGUGCUGGCGGAGGUGCUGUGAGGGUGUCUCGGGAAGGUGCUGGGCGAGGGGCGUCCAGGCGAGGGAACCGAGGGGCCUGGGACGUGAGUGCGGAGGGAAGCGGUGUGCAGAAGUGGGGGCUGCCCAGGAGCGGUAGUGACACCCAGACGGCCCGCAGAGGGGCCCGGGCGCGGCGCUGCUGUGAUGGAGACCGGGGAGCGUGGGGAAGGUUCGGAGAGGCCCAGGGCUGCGCUCCCCAGCUUGAGGGGUCCCAGGAGUGAGCGGGAUCGGGAGUGAUCUGUGCAGAGAGGGAGUCUGCGGACCGGGCCAGAGGCUCAGGUUGUUCGGAUGCUGGCGGGACUCGCGUCAGCAUUCGGCCCCAGAGCCCGCGUGAGGGGCGGCGGGUCCUGAAGGACCAACCUCCUGCACGUGAGGGUGUCGUGACUGAGAGGGGCCUGGGCAGUGGGCAUUUUCGGGUGCUGUGCAGCAAGGGGACCGGGGGAGUCCGUCGAGGGCAGAAGAGCGGAAGGCGCUGGUGGCAGACCAAGUCUGGCAGGGACUGUGCUUGUGCAAGGCAGCUGGCCACUGUCAGGCCUAGGACGACGGCCAGAGCGUGGGAGAGACGACAAAGUGCCUCCUCAGCCUGGGAGCGUCGGGGCCUUUGGACGCCCGCGUCCUGCGCUUCCAACUUGCAGGCCACACUCUGCAGCCCCGUAAGCCGGGGGGGCGGGGUAGUGCCGCAGGAGGGCGGGCUCGGGGGUGGGGCAGGAGCGCUCGCGCGCGCUCUCCACGAAUCAGGAGGGCCUGGGAGGGCCUACAGGGCGCGACGUCGGUGGGCAGGGUUCAGUGGGCGGCCUGAGGCGAAGAGCUGCUUGCCUCCGCCUGCUAGGUUGCGCGCGCACUUCAGGCCUUGCGGGCAUGUCCAGCUCUUCUGUGGCUUCCAGCAGGCGAGGCCAAACAGGAUCUUUCUCACUUCCCCACAUCUCCUGGAUCCUGGAGCUGAUGCAGUCAGGUCCCGUGCUCACCGGGGGAACCGGCGAGCCUCUCCAAAGUAUUAAAGGACACUUCCGGAAGAGCCUUUGGCCUGUGGUCAGCCCGCAGACAUCGGUGGUCUCUGUACCUGUAGGAGCCCCAUGAGGGUCCAGGUGUGGGAGACAGUCCUGGGACAGGGCUUCUGCGGCCGAGGCAGGUGGAAAGGCACUCCAGGGGAGCUGCUGUAAAAGGUAGUUGGUAGGCAAGAGGUGGGCGUUCUGCUCCAAAUCCAGGACCUCCACUGGCAUUCUGGCUCUGUGUGUGUGGGCGGGACCAGGUGCCAGUUGCCCUUGGGGCGUGCUCACGUGUGAGUAGCUGCUUUUCCAAGGGCACCUUUGGGACCCCAGUGAAUCACCUCAUGGGGUAGAUCCAUGAUAGUUGAAGAAGUGCCCUUUUAGUCAGGAAGGCAAGCCCUAGUGUAAUAGCCCAGGCUCCAGGGCAUGCCCUUCUUAAUCCUCCCAAUACAGACCACAAUACUGGGACGGACUCCCAAUACUCCCUAAUACAGACCACAUUAGGGCCCCAUGGCAGCUAGCAUUUCCCUUGUUCUAACUUCUAAUGCUCUUCACAUUUGUUAUGAGGGUGUGGCUGACCUGGGACCUGGUGAAAUCAAUUUUCUAAAAUAAGAAAAAUAAAAAAGAAAAAGACUUCUGAAUUCUAAGGGGUCAGAGAAGGAUCUUCCAGAGAUUGCUGAGUGGGGAGGGCCUGGGGAUAUGGUUCUACAGUUUUUGGUCAUAACCACAAAGAUUAGCAUCUCUGCUGCCUGGUCGAUGAAGCAUCCCAAAUAGUCCAUCAGCGAGGGCAAAGUGAUGGAAACAUUUGGAGUCACUGAUUAACAUGCUUGAGGGCUGGAUCCCUUAUUUGGGAGGUGGGAGUACUUCCAGAGCUUCUUUUCACUUAAUGAAGGCUGGGAAGCUCAGAGCUCAGUGGUACAGGGCUGGAGGAAGUCAUUUUCAUAUAUAGAGUCUUUCUUGUUUGGCCUCUUUUGUAGCAAUGACUCCCCAGGACCCUCCAGUAACAAUUUUCCUUUACCUGCAUCCCCCACCAUCCUCAGGUUCCUGAGAUCACCUUGAAAAAAAAAAAACCCUUACCUUCGCCCAAGUCUUUCAGGCUCAAGCAAGAAAACAACUUGCUAUCUUUUAAGUCCUUGUUCCCCUCAGUUAUGCUCUUUGAUUUAUUAUUUUAUCAAUAUUAAUAGAAUCAAAGAAAAGUAUCACCUAUAGCCCUAUCACCAUCCCUUAGUCCAUCUCUAAUUUCCUCCAUUUCUCCCUGUCCUUGCCUAUAUGCUGACAUAAUUUUAUGUAGCUAUAAAAAAGCCAUGUUUAAAAUUAUAAGGUUAGCAUUUUCUUAUGUGGUGACAUAAUUGCUGUUACUACUAUUAUAAGUGAUUGCAUAAUACCUUACUGAAACAGUCUUAGAUAACACAGUAUUUUGGUUUUACACAUGAAAGAAAGAUUCAAAAAUUGUUGGGACAAGUACCUAUCCAUGAGGAAAAAAUAUAUCUUUAUCCCAGUCCUUACAGCACAUUCAAGAUAGACUGAAUAAUUAAAUAUAAAAAAUUAACAUAAACCAGAACAAAUGGGUAAGUGCUUUUUGAUCUUGGAUGGGAAAGGCCUGAGAGUGACAAAAACUUAAGAAAUUGCCAGGAUAAGACUGAUAAAUUUGGCUAUAUUCAUUCAACAAACAUUUAUUGAGUGCAUAUUCUAUAUGCAAGGUUCUGCUCUAGACACUGGGGAUCUCAGAGUUAUCUAAAAUGACAAGUAGGGAGUUGAGCUAUCAUACUCUCACACAAGUCAGUCAGUCAUAGCCAAAGGCUGUCCCUGGGGGCCUUAAGCCCCUGGGCACUCUGGGGCUCUCUGGGAAUAGGAGCAAAGCAGCCCCACUGACCUGAGGACAGGUGCCAGCCAUGGGAAGCCAGAGCACAUCAAGCCCCAGUGGGGGAUGUCCAGAAACAGUGAAAGGGGCCCAAGGGGACCUAGACAGAGCACCAAAGUGUUGGUUGAAGUUACGUUUCCCAAAUUCCCAUCAUACAGUGUCCUUGUACCACCUGUACAAGAACAGGUUUAAUAUUUUUCUUUAAUUUUUAUUUACAUAUAAUUCUUUUAAUAGGAAACUAAUAGAUUAGGUUUUGAGUUUUUUGUUUGUUUGUUUGUUCGUUUGUUUUUUGAGAUGGAAUCUUCCCCUGUUGCCCAGGCUGGAGUGCAGUGGCGCAAUCUCGGCUCACUGCAAUCCCCACCUCCUGGGUUCAAGGGAUUCUCCUGCCUCAGCCUCCUGAGUAGCUGGGAUUACAGGCACACACCACCACACUUGGCUAAUUUUUGUAUUUUUAGUAGAGAUGCUGUUUCACCAUGUUGGCCAGGCUGGUCUCAAACUCUUGACAUCAAGUGAUCCACCCACCUCUGCCUCCCAAAGUGCUGGGAUUACAGGUGUGACCCACCACGCACAGCCUAGAUUUUUUUAAAAAACAUACAAAUGAGACAUGUAGAAAGGACCAUGACCUUAGAAUGAAGGUGCUACACAGAGUAGGGGGUAAAGAUUGGGAUACCAAGGGUAGGGGGACAUGAGGCUAGGGCUGACGAACCCAGCCCCAAGGGACCAAGGACAGGAGCAGAUAGGAAGAUGGAAGAAAUUGCCCAGGGCACCCUAGCCUGGAGUCUCUGGUAGAGCUCCAAGAGGGAGUGGUUGGAGUUGGACUCAGGUGACACAUAGGGGUGACACUGCUCUGUGAGUGCAAGCGUGAGGAGUGAGGCCAGAAAGAGGCUGCCCCUGAGGAAGGAACAUUGGGCAUUGAGAUCAAAAUGAGAUGGUGAUUUGAGGAAAGGGGAACUGGGGGUGGACAUCACAGAUGGGUGUUCAGCUAGAAGGAGCAGCAGCAUGUUCCAGGCCUAGAGGCGAGGGACAGAACAUGCUCUGGAAAGGUCUGCAAUGGCUGGGAUUUUGGACACUGGUGCUGGGUAGCUCUCAGAUCAAGCAAAGCCUUGUAAAGCAGGAAAAGCAUCUGGGCUUUAUUUGGGGGGCUGUGGGAAUGACAUAAUCAGAUAUGUGUUUAGAAUAUUUCUGCUGAGGUAGUGCAAGAGGCAGGGAGACCUACAGAAGAUAUUGCAUUAAUACAGAAAGAGGAUGAUGGUAGUUGUGAGGAUUAAGGGGGCUAGACAGAUUCCAGAUACAUUUUGGAAGGAGGUUGGACAAGUCUUGCCUACUGCUUGGGCUUGAGGAGUGAGGGAUGAGCAAGGAGGAAAUGGCCUCCAAGUUUCUGGCUUGUGGGCCCAGACAAAGUUGAGGGCCCUUUGCAAUGCUCUCUGCCUCCAUCAUUCGCAGCCUGCCCCUGCCCUGCUCGCCACCUUUGAAUCUCUCCUGGCGGGCACUGUUUCUUGGUCUGCUUUUUCUCCUCUUUGUGGGCAUCUCAGUCUCAAGUUUUGUGUGUCUGUUACUCAGACUCUGUCUCUCGCUCUCUGUCUCAGGUAUUUUUCUAUGUCUCUGUCUCUUUCUGAGUCUAGCUUCACAUGUCUCUAGCUCAGUCUUCCCAGCCCUUUCUUUCAGGAGCUGGGCCUGAGGGUGGUAAGUGUCCUAUUGGAAAAGAAGUGGAAGUUGGAUUUGGGCAGAGAUUCGUGGUGAUUAGUAAAGUGGAAAUGAACCUGAGCCCACCCACAGGUCUCUCUCCUGGGGUCACCUUGGGACCUAGAUGAGGUUCCUCCAGGCAGCAGCCCUUCUCUCCUACUGGGAACCAGGCCCAGAGUCUGAAAUCAGUUCCAAAGAGCCCUGUGCUAGCCUAGGCAGGCCAAACCACUCCCACACCAAGUAUGUAUCGGAUGCCCUUAUUGUGCCAGGCUAGGGCCACAUGCAGUGGACAAAAUACCCUUAAGGGGCUCACAGCCUAAUGGAGGAGGCAGAAGAGCAAUCAGAGGGUGGCACAGAGUAGAACUGAUUUAUUCUCCAGGGAGUCCCCACAGAGGUGAUGAUGCUAACAGUGUCAUUUCCAGAGCCUUCAGUUCCUGGAUGAGCGGACUUUUUCAUCUACAAUCUCCACAGAGAAGGCUGUAUUUGAGGAGAAGUAGGACAUAAUGACGGAGGAAGAGGUGGAGGUCCUGAAGACCAGGUUGAGUUUGGAAUUUAACCUAAGGGUAAUCUGGAGCCACUGAGACCUCUUGAGCAAGGAACAGGCACCAGUUCAGAAACUAGUUAAGAUCUGAAGGUUAAAGUCAAAACUCAGACCAGCUUAAGCAACAGUGGGGGCUCUACUGGCUCAUGUAAUCAAAUCACAGUUACAUGCCUGGGCUGGAGUGGCCUGCGAGUAGCAUCUGAAGCAAGGAGAUAGAGAUCUCUAGGGGAAGGAUGUGACCUCCAGCUACUACUUUUCCCCAUAACCGGGAUGAUCAAGGUGUUAGGAAAGGCAGAGGACAUCCUUACACCUCAAGACACCCUGUAUUCCCCACUCAGCUUGUUCCAGGACACCAUCCCUAAGGGAUCCCCAGAAGCUCAUCCUUCUGCCUUCAACACCCAUAACUCCCAUGCUUCCUCAACAUCCUGAUCCUUUCUUACCAAGACCCACUCUCCCCCAUCACACAUGGAUUCUUCCAAUCAAAUGUCUAUGUCCACUGACACCUGGCUUCCUAGCCAUCUUCUACCUCUACCCUUGUCCCCAGGGAUGUUCUCUACUUGUCCCCAGGUGGGACCUGGGGACAGCAUCCUUCCCAUCUAAAGACACUUCACUCCCAAGAAUAAGGCUUUCAAACGGGUCAGUGGUCCAGCAGGUGCAGCCCGCCCCCUGGUGGCCACAAUGUUGUGUGGUCCUUUUCCUGAGCCCAGCUGAAUGUGGAAGGCCUCUCUCCCUGCCAGUUCCUCAGUGUACACCACAGUCAGAGUGGGCUCAGUCGUGUCUCUUACCUUACCUGUCAUGAUUUGCACUCUUGUUCAGUUUUCCCCAGAGUAUUAGCAGAAAUGCCCUCAGGAGGCUGGGCGCAGUGGCUCACACCUGUAAUCCCAGGACUUUGGGAGGCCAAGGUGGGCAGAUCAUUUGAGAUCAGGAGUUCAAGACCAGACUGGCCAAUGUAGUGAAACACCCGUCUCUACUAAAAAUACAAAAAUUAGCUGGGCAUGAUGGCGCAGGCCUGUAAUCCCAGCUACUCGGGAGGCUGAGGCAGGAGAAUCACUUGAACCCGGGAGGCGGAGGCUGUAGUGAGCUGAGAUCGCGCCACUGCACUCCAGCCUGGCAACAGAGUGAGACUCCAUCUCAAAAAAAAAAAACAAAAAAGAACGCCCUCAGGAAUAUGAAGGCCUGAGUGCCUGUCUGGAGAGGGUAGAAAGCAGGGGAACUGGAGCGAUGUGCCCCACUUGGCAGCCAGUCUUGGAGGAGGAAAAUGAAAGGCAAAGUGGAUGCAAGCCACUGGUGAAGGAAAAAAGGGCAGUCAACCAGGGUCCUGGGCACACAGAGAAAAGGGCAUCUGGCCUAAAGCUGGUGGUCAGGAGAUAUUUGGGGAAUUUGAGAACAAGACACAUCCUGAUCUGAGAUAGACUCUAGGACCUUGGGAAUGAGCUGAAACAUUCUUAGCGUACCCAGAAACCCAAGAAGCCUUCCUGGAGGGGGACACGCCUGCCACCACUUCUGUACCUCCAAAAUUACAGCCCUGCCUUACCCAGAGAGUUUGGGUGCAAAAAGAGGACAUGGCCUCAGGCUUGGGCCCUCUCUGACAGCCCCGGCUGGGGGAGGGCAUGGCCCUGCCCUGAAACCCUAUCACAAUAGAAUAGCUCCCAGAGCAGAGGGGGCAGGGUAUCUCUGUGUGCCCUCAGCCCACUAGCAGGAGUGGCUUUGGCUCCUGAAAGGGCAGAGAGUCACAGAGUCUCAAGUUGAUUUAGUGACUCUGGAGCCAUUGAGCCCCUUGAGGUGGAACCCCACACUUAGCCCCUGUGUGGAUUGUCCCUUGGAUGACUCCCCAUAUCUCAGCUAGCAGGUAUCAUGUGGCCUGGCUGAUGGAGGUUACUUUUGCUUGGCUGCUGUCAUCUGUCGCCUCUCUCAGCCAGGCUCCCCAGGCCCUGGGCUCUGGCCCAGCCACAGGUACCCCCUUUAUUCCCUGGCCUAUGCCUACACAGGCUGUAUUGGAGCUGAGGUGAGCAGACCCAGACGUGGCCACACUCUGUGGUGUGAAUUCUAUGUCACCCGUCAUCCCAAGGCUGCCUGCUGAUGAAGAGGAAGGGCCAACCCAUAUGUGCAUCACUGCAUGCACCCGUGUAUAUAUUAGGGGGUCCAUAUGCGUGUGUAUGCAGCCCCUUCUGGGAAGGUAGUUGCCCUCUCACAUCUUUUAUAGCAUCAGCUUUGACAGGCAGCUGCCAUGGCAGACCUCCCACUGGCACCAUUCACAUGGGCGGUGCCUUGGCUGGGCAAGGGAGAUAUUUCACGGGCAGGUCUGGUCACAGACACACACCUUGGUACGUGCAGCUACAUGCUCAUUUGUACUUGGGCUCACACGUGACAAGGCUGUCUCUGCCCAGGCUGGUUUCUCUACGUUGGCACUGCCUGUUUCUCCCUCCCUCCCUCCCGCUCUGGCCCUCCAGGUCUCAGCCCUGACAAGCACUGCCCUCCUCUUUCAGCUCCCCUGGAACCCAGCCUCCUACCCUCUUGGUCUUGGAAGGUUCUCAGAGCCUCCCUCAUGAACAUGAUCACAGAUGAGCAUUUGUAGGCAAUUUCUACUUUUCACACUAACUUCCCAGAGGCCUGGGUAGAGAGAGAGCUGGGCUCUCUCCUCUGGAACAGGGGUCAGGGUAUGGGAGGGAAGAAUACAAGGAGGUGGCCAGGGGCCGUGGCUCAUGCCUUUAAUCCUAGCACUUCAGGAGGCUGAGACAGGCGGAUUUCCUGAGCUCAGGAGUUUGAGAUCAGCCUGAGCAACACAGUGAAUCCCAUCUCUACUAAAAUACAAAAAAUUAGCUGGGUGUGCUGGCGUGCACCUGUAGUCCCAGCUACUCGGAGGCUGAGGCAGGAGAAUUGCUUGAACCUUGGAGGCGGAGGUUACAGUGAGCCGAGAUUGCACCACUGCACUCCAGCCUGGGCGACUGAGACUCCUUCUCCAAAAAAAAAAAAAAAAAAAAAAAAGAAUACAAGGAGGUAAAAAAAAAAAUCUCAGUAAAUUAGUCAGUCUGUCUCCUGACUCCACUCUCCUUCCCUCUCUCCCACUUCCCCCUCCCCUGCCACACAGCCCUCCUUGGUUGCUGCUAACAUACACUCAGGCGCCCCUGAUGCACACUGUUCCCCUCCCCCAUACACUGCCAACCCACAUUCCUAAAUGGGGCUCUUAACCCCAGUGAACUGUCCCCAUCUACCCCAUCUGGCUCUGAUCCCACCAUGGCCAUGGGAGGCACUCCUUGUGAUCCACACCUGAGUGCCUGGCUGGGAUGGGUGGAGAAGGAGGCCCUAUCUCAGCUGAAAGAGGCAACAGGCAAGUGGCCUCCUCUCUCUGGACCUUCCUUUCUAGGCAAGAACACACAGAUGAUGGUUUGUUGCCAGAAGGCUCUGGAAUGGGUGCAAACCAGAAGGGGUUCCCUGUCCUGGUCUGAGUUUAGGGAUGGGACCAAAGAAGUAAAAUUUCUGGACGUUCUACUAAAAAUUAUUUUUAAAAUAUCAAAAGCAAAAAAUAUUUUGGGGAAACGGAUACUAGCCACAUGGAAUUGACUAGACGUUGAGAGUUCACACAGCUUGUUAAUAUUUAGUGUCUUUCUGACUCCCUGAUGGCCCUUGGUAAGAGAAAAGAAGGAGGGUGGUUGUCACCCAUCCUGCCUGUUUACUGCACACCAAGCUGUGGCUGGGUACCGUGUUUCCAAAGGCGAGAGGCUCCCUUGGGUGCAGGAAAUGGAGACCAUGUCAGGGAAAGAUCAGCAUGAGGGUCCUGGAGUGAGAGUCUCUGCCCAUCCAAGGCCUCACAGGAACUCAGCUCAAACCAUAAAGAAAGCUAUUAUAUCACCUGGCAGGCCUCAGGGAUGACCUCAGGAAACUGGGUCUUUCAGGAGCAAGGCCACUCCAGACUAAACUCCUGUUACUCCAGACAAGUCAUUUGUCAUGAAUGUGACUCAGCUGCAUCUUUCAUCACUGCUUCAGUUUGGGUCUAACCAUUUGUCCUCUUGUUAACAACUCACUAAUUUUCAUAAGUCCCAGUUUAAAUCUGGGAGACAGUCUGUUUGCCUUAGUUCAUUCCGAUUUUUCAAGUUACUAUACUUAUGUAAAAAAUUACCCCCAAUUUUAGUGACUUUUACAGAAUCAAAAAAUACUUAUAUGCUUAUGAAUCUGCAGUUUAGGCAGGGCUUGGUGGGCCUAGCUCAUCUUUGCUUUCUGUGGGGUCACCUGGGCUGCUUGAUAGUGGGAGCUGGACUGAUCUGGAGGCUUACUUUCUCGCAUGUCACAGUUGAUGCCGGCUGUUGGCUGAUGCUUUGGGCUGUUGGCUGGAAAACCUACAAAUGCUAUUGACCAUGUCUUUUAUUUUCUGUACUCUGAUGUUUUGACAUAUUGGGGUCUUGUUUUUGGCAUCUUGGGGCCUUGCUGACCUUGGAGGGACUGCCCCUUUGAUAGCAGAUUCCUAGAGAUAGCAAAUAACUGACCUGUGAGGGUGUCUUUCAUAUGCAAGCCAGUCAAUCCAGUGCCCACAUUCCCAACCACCCCCUUUAUCCAGCAAUUACAGGCCCCUAUUUUCCUGCCCUAGUCACCCAGGGGCCAAGUACCAGACUACUGGGGCCAGCCCCUACACCUCAGAGCCCACCAAAAUUAUUUAAACUAGCUAAUCCUGAACCUGCUUACCCUGUUCCUUUUUGUAGAAACCACACUAAAUGCCUUUGCCAUAGUUUUCCUUUCUCCCUCAGGUUCCUGACCAAGCUGGUGCUUCUGCGUGUGUUCCUGCAUGACUUGGUGUGUCCCCUUCUCUUGGAUCUGUGAGUAACAAACUAUCUUUUCUUUUUUUCUUUUGAGACAGAGUCUCGCUGUGUCUGUGUCACUGAGGCUGGGGUGCAGUGAUGCAAUCUCAGGUCACUGUACCUCCGCCUCCUGAGUUCAAGUGAUUCUCCUGCCUCAGCCUUCCGAGUAGCUGGGAUUACAGGGAUGCACCAUCACACCCAGCUAAUUUUUGUAUUUUUAGUAGAGAGAGGGUUUCACCAUGUUGGCCAGGCCGGUCUCAAACUCCUGACCUCAGGUGAUCUGCCCGCCUUGGCCUCCCAAAGUGCUGGGAUUUACAGGCAUGAGCCACUGUGCCCAGCCUAAUCUGUCUUUUCAAUGGCAGUCGUCUCUUGACCUGUUGGCCUCUUCAUACCUGAAUAAUAAUAAAACCUAUAUUUUCUUUUUUGUUUGUUUGUUUGUUUUUGAGAUGGAAUUGCUCUUGUUGCCCAGGAUGGAGUACAAUGGCGUGAUCUCAGCUCACUGCAACCUCCGCCACCAGCCUGAAACCUAUGUUUUCAAACAGUGAUCUCUCCAGUGGCCUGGGCUUCCUCACAACAUGGUGGCUGGUUGCAAGGGUGUGUCCUCUGAGAGAGUCCCAGGCGGAAGCCAUAUCACAUUUUAUGACCUAGUCUCAGAAAUUACUCAGUGUCUUUUCUACUGCAUUCUGUUCACCAAGACUAUCAUAAUGUCCCACCUAGGUUCAGGGGGAGGAGAAAUAGACUCCAUCUCUUGAAGGGGCAUGGCAACGUGCUAGAAGAGCCUGUGAAUGGAAAUACUGUGGUAGCCAGUUUUGGAAAUUACAGUCUUCAACGAUCAUCCUCUCUGGGCAGAGCUCUUCAUGCCAGGACACCUCAUAGGUCACUGGCCAGUCAAUGGGGUACUGUUUACAGGUCAGAUAUCUAAUCCUGUCCCACUCUUGCCCUUAGACCUGAGCAAAAGGGACGCUUGCCCUGGGCCUGGUGCUUUAGAAGUCUUUAUUUAGGCCUUUGUCCAGUUGUUCCCUUCCCCAUGGGGUAAGAAAUUUGCAGGACACCAGGGCAUGUGGCUACCUGAAGUCUGUGCCUCCACCUCCCCUGUUACGAAAUGCACCUGGGGCACCUAGGACCUUGGAAUUUCCUAUCCCACAGGCUUGAGCAUGGGGCCCACACAUCAGGGGAGAGCAGUGAGGCAGCUGUGAGCCAGGAGCCUGGGCUUGGCUGUCCCUGUGUUGUCACACUCCGGUGCAGCACUCCAAGGAAUCUGUUCGUUUAAAAUUCGAACUUGGUCAUUCAGCCUCAGAUUUUGUUGCAUUUUCCUGAUUUAGAUGGAAUGGAAUGAAGAAAACUCCACAGCAUACAGAAUUGGCCUCCAUUUGCUCUCUUGUCCUGCAAAUGUCAGAGGUGGGCCUGCCCUGACAGCUGUGGAGGGGGGCAUUUCCUGAGGUGUAGAGAAGAUCCCCCUUCCCUUUCCUCCCAGCUUUGGGUAGAGCCUGAGGCAGCUGGAGGUGUGUCAAGCCCUGUCAUGGCAGGACUCUGUCUUCACCAGUCUUCACAACCUCUCUGUUAAUAAUGCCAUCUUACAGAUGAGGAAACAGGCUUCACGAGGUUAAGUGGCUUGCUCCAUCAGAGCUGAGAUGGUGAUGAUUGCCUUUGUGUCGGGGAAUCCUAUCUGUCCGGGAAGCCGCUGCUCAAGAUGACAGGGCAAGUCAUUGAUUGGGAGUUUCCAGAUCUUAACUCUAAGCUCCCGCCACUCCUGCAUGCUGUGCUUAAAGCAGGAUGGCGUAGGAAAUGAUUGUACUGGAUUUAUCUGAGGAAGGGAAGGCAUUGACAGAAAUCUAGAAAAUUAUUCUGGGAUAAGCAUAAUCAUUAGUCAAACCUCCUCAGCCUCAUUUUUCUGGAGAUGAGGUUACCUGGACGAGGAGCACGUGAUCAGGGGCUAAGACGGGUACUUUUCCUGCGUGCUGGAUAGGGAGGCCUGAAACCCAGAAUCUACUAGAUCUGUGCUCCUUGGGCUUCCCUGUCCUUAGGAAGCUAAAUUUACAACUCCAAACUGCAUAUCUAUUGGACUAUUCCCAGAGAGAUGUUAAGAGAUACAGAUAAAUAGCAAGAGAUUAAGACACAGGCCCAGGCCGGGUGCAAUGACUCAUGCCUGUAAUCCCAGCACUUUGGGAGGCUGAGAUGGACAGAUCACUUGAGCCCUGGAGUUCAAGACCAGCCUGGGCAACAUGGUAAAACCUCAUUUCUACAAAAAAAAAAAAAUGCAAAAAAUUAGCCAGGUGUGGUGGUGUAUGCCUGUAGUCUCAGCUACCCGGGAGGCUGAAGUGGGAGGAUCACGUGAGCCUGGGAGGUCGAGGCUACAGUGAGCCGAGAUAGUGCCACUGCACUCCAGCCCAGGCAACAGAGUGAGACUCUGUCUCAAAAAAAAUAUAUAUAUAUAUGUAUAUAUAUAUAUAUAUAGAGAGAGAGAGAGAGAGAGAGAGAGAGAAAGAGAGAGAGAGAGAGAGAGAGUUCCUGACCAGCCUGGCCAACAUGGUGAAACCCCAUCUCUACUAAAAAAAAUACAAAAAAAUUAGCUGGGAGUGGUGGCACGCACCUGUAAUCCCAGCUACUCAGGAGGCUGAGGCACAAGAAUCACUUGAACCCGGGAGGCGGAGGUUGCAGUGAUCCGUGAUGGAGCCACUACACUCCAGCCUGGGUGAGAGUGAGACUCUAUCUCAAAAAAAAAAAAGACACAGGCCCAAAGUUAUGUCAUAUCUGUCAUGCUUCUCCUUUGCUUGUGCUUUCCCUGUGCCAAGAAUGUUGUUCUUUGCCCCUCCCUUGAGUUACCCUUGCCUGCUUCCCAAGACCCAGUUCAGAGGGAGCCUCCUCCUCUAAGUUUAGUAUUCUUGGUCUGUGUCUUGAGACUUAUUAGUGGCUUUUGGACUUAUUAAUAAGCAGGAAAGAGUGAUUGUAGACUGAGAAGGGAGAGGUGGCAUGAAUGUCCUGAGAUCAGUCUGUGAACUGAUUUAACAUAUCUUGGCUCUGGCACAUUGGGCUGCACCCUCAGAUGUGACCCUCCCAUAUGCCGCACGAGGUCCCUGGGGGAAGCCCUGACACUCACCUGGCUUCUCCUUCUUACACAGAAAAGCUUGACAUGCCAACAAUAACAUUUCUGUUUCCAAAAUUGAAACAGAUUUUUCUUUCUUCAUAACUUUACUUGUUCAACUUUAGAGUUUCUUUUUUCCCUUUAUUUAUGCAAACAUUUUUUCUUCAACAGUGGGGUUCUAAAAGAUAAUUUGAUACCCCUCUAGCAUCGUGUAUGGUUGAGGCCAGAAACCAGGAAGCCAGAGUACUUGCACUUCUCCAAGGCAGCUGUUGAAAUGCAGGACUUCCAUGGGGGAAGGACUGGACCACGGUCCCCUAGCCAUCUUGGAGGACUGGGGCUGCCUUCGGAUUUUAACUGUUUCAUUGUCAAAUUAUCAAAUUGGUUAUUUAUAUAAGGGCUGUCUGCUUAUCUGGUGCUAAGCUGGUUUAAAAGUUCCAGAUGCAGCAAAAGCAUUCUCCAGCACUGGCAACAGUUAUCAGCAAGACCACACUCAAAAUCAACUCAAGAAAACAGCUCUAAACCAGAGAUUGCAAACUGGCAGCCCAGGAGUGAAAUCCAGCCGACUGACCCAUGCUGGUAGCAAACGUGGUUUGUUAUUAUUCUUGUUGUUUUUUUGUAUUUGCCUGUAUAGAGCAGACUGUCAUUACAGUGUUUUUUUUUAAAUAAUUACUUACAGAAACAUCAUAAGAAUAAAGAAUUCCUAUAUACCCUUUAACUAAAUUCCCCAAAGAUUAACUUUUUACUCCCCAAUUGUAUUAUUUGAACCAUUUGAAAGUAAACUUCAGGCCUAUCCUCAACAUUUCAAAAUAUCUUUAAAAAGGACAAUCUCUCAUAUAACCAUGAUACAAUGAUCAAAUCAAUCAGUAAAUUAACAUUGAUACAGUGUUAUCAACUAAUCCACAGACCUCAUGCUUAUUUCACCAAUUUACCUAUUUUGUCUUUUAUAGCAAAGGGGAAUAUUUAUGUUUUCUGGUCUAGGAUCCAAUUUAAGAUUAUGUUUCCCUGUUUCUUUAGUUUCCUUUAAUCUGGUACAGCCCAGUGAUUUUGUAGAAUACUCCUUAACAUGGGUUUGUCUGUUGUUUCCUCAUGAUUAGAUUCAGAUUAUGCAUUUUUGGUGAGUACUCCAGGAGUGAUGUUGUAUCCUCACCAGUGCCGCAUAUGAGGAGGCACUUGACAUUGCUUUGUGGCAUUAUUGAUAAUGUUAAGUUUGAUUACUUGGUUAAGGCAGUGUCUCUAAGGUUUCUUCACUGUAAAUUUUGUCCUUUGUAUUUUUCCCAUUGUAAUUAAAAAGCAUUUUGUGUAUGAGGGAGGUACUUUGAGAUGAUGUAAAUACCCUCAUUCUCAUAAAACAUUUACCCUCUAGUUUUAGCAUCUGUUGAUGACCCUUGCCUUAAUCAGUUAUUGCUGUUAAAUUUUGGUCAGUGGGAGAUUGCUCAAGUUGGGUUUUGAGUACUUUUGACACAUCCCUAUUAUUCUCAAGCUCUUCUUUACUCUGGUACAACAAAAUGCUUUGGGCUCAUAGGGUCUUUUUCUUGUACCAGCCCUGGAAUCAGUUAUUUCUCUAAGGAGUCCUGCUUCUUUUUAGUGGAGAAUAGUACUUAGAAGCCAAGAUCUGGGUGCCAGAUGCGCUUAUUGCUGCUGCAGUGUCAUUGAUCCUAGGCUCCCUUGGUGGACACAGCUAUAUAAAUUUAUCUAUAUCUACCUAUCUAUCAUUUAUCAAUAUCAAUUAAUCUAUCUACAUCUAUAUUAUUAAUCAACCUCUCUAUCAAUCAUCUAUUUAUAUUCAAUCUACUAAAACCUGGAGUUUAUGAUGACACCUCAGAUUCCUAACACCACAUGAUUCAGUAUAUUUCCUUCUCCUCUUGCCAUAUUUGUAACUCCCUUCCCUGAUAGUGAAAAACUUGACUCCCAUUAUCCACAAUACAUUAUUUAUACACAAUGCUCAAUCUUAGAAUGCCCAGAAAGUAGCUUCAGAAUUGCUAUCCCAUUCUACUGCAAAAACCCAACUCAGUAAGUAGAGUUCAAUAUUUUUUUACACUGUCUUUGCCUUUUGUCAAAAUACUUUAUUCAAAUAUUACUUAGAUUAGUUCCUCCACCUCUAAUGAGGGUCAUUUUUUUUCUGUUUGUGUUUUAUGUUAGUGUUUUCUCCCCACCUUGUUUGUUUGUUUGUUUUAGGCAAGUGAAACACUAACACGGUUCUAAAAGUCAGAACUACACAGAAAGGUAUCCUCAGAGAAGUGUCACUGCCCUUUGUAACUUACCCCCAACCCACUUCCUACCUACCAGGCAUGGACCCUACAACUUUAGGUAAUCGUUAUCAUUACUUUCUGGUUUGUCCUUCUUAUGUUUUUGUUGUUGUUGUUGUUGUUCUGUAUAGUCGACACAAGUAUAUAUUAUGAUUUCUCUCUUCUUACAUGAUAAGUAGCACACAAUAGAUACUCAUUUGUACUUCUCCUUUUCACUUCACAAUACAGCCUGCAAAUCACUCCACUUCAGUUCAUAGAGAUAUUCCUAAUAAUCUUUAAUUAAAGCCACUGUAUAGUAUUUCAUUGUGUGGACUUAGUAUCAUUUCUUCAGCUACCCUUCCAUGUAUGGCAUUUAGUAUGUUUCCAGAAUUUUGCACUACAAACAAUGCUAUAGUACUUUUUAUGUUGUUGGAGAAGUAACUUAAGGUAUGUUCCUGGAUAACUGGGUCAAAAGGAAGACACUUGUAGUUUUGUUAGGAAUUGCAAAUUUCCUCCCAGAAAGUUUGUAUCAAUUUGCAUUUUCACCAGCAAUGUAUGAGAGUACCUCUUUCCCCACAGCCUCACCAACAGAAUGUGUUGUUAUAUUAAACAUUUUUUGCCAAUCUGCUAGGAGAGAAAUGGUACCUCAGCACAGUUUAAAUUUGUAUUUCUCUUAUAAUGUGAAUUGAACAUAUUUUUAAAUGUUUAAGCCCAUUUUAAUAUCUUUUUUUAGUGACUUAUCCAUCAUGUCUUUUGCCCAUUUUUCUAUGGACUUAUAAAAUAUCUCACUUCUCACUUUUUUAAAGAGUUUGUUUCUACAUUAAGGACAUUGGCUCUUUAUCUGUGACAUAAAUGCAAAUAUUUUCUCCCAUUUUGUCAUUUGUCUUUUGACUUUGCUUAUGGUAUUUUUUGCCAAGAAAACAUUUUUUUCUUUUAAGGUUUUUUUGGUUGUGUUUUAUUUUGUUUUGAGACAGAGUCUCGCUCUGUCGCCCAGGCUGGAGGGCAGUGGCGUGGUCUUGGCUCACUGCAACCUCCGCCUCUUGGGUUCAAGCGAUUCUUCUGCCUCAGCCUCCUGAGUAACUGGGACUACAGGUGCGCAUCACCAUGUCAGGCUAAUUUUUGUAUUUUUAGUAGAGGUGGGGUUUCACCAUAUGGCCAGGCUAGUCUUGAUCUCCUGACUUUGUGAUCCACCCACCUUGGACUCCCAAAGUGCUGGGAUUACAGGCAUAAGCCACCGUGCCUGGCCUCUUUUUAGUUUUAUGUAGUCAAAUAUAUCAAUCUGUUCUUUUAUUGCCACUGGAUUUUGAGUCAUAGUUGGAAAGCCUUUCUCUACAACCAGACUAUGCAAGACCAUAUCCAUGUUUUCUUCUAGUGCCUGUAUGGUUUCAUCUUUUACAGUUAGACCUCUGAUCCAUUUGCAAUUGCUUCUCUCGUAUGGUGUGAGAUAAGGAUCCGGAUUUUUUUUUUUUUUCUUUGGAGACGGAGUCUCGCUCUGUCACCCAGGCUGGAGUGCAGUGGUACAAUCUUGGCUCACUGCAAACUCUGCCUCCUGUGUUCACGCCAUUCUCCUGCCUCAGCCUCCCAAGUAGCUGGGACUACAGGCACCCGCCACCACGCCCGGCUAAUUUUUUGUAUUUUUAGUAGAGAUGGGGUUUCACCGUGUUAGCCAGGAUGGUCUCGAUCUCCUGACCUCGUGAUCUGCUCGCCUCGGCCUCCCAAAGUGCUGGGAUUACAGGCGUGAGCCACCCCGCUCGGCCAUAGGAUCCGGAUUUUUUAAAAUUAUUUUUUUAAAUUAUACUUUAACUUCUAGGGUACAUGUGCACAAUGUGCAGGUUUGUUACAUAGGUAUACAUGUGCCAUGUUGGUUUGCUGCACCCAUCAGCUCAUCAUUUACAUCAGGUAUUUCUCCUAAUGCUAUCCCUCCCCCAACACCCCAUCCACCAACAGGCUCUGGUGUGUGAUGUUCCCCUCCCUGUGUCCAUGUGUUCUCAUUGUUCGACUUCCACUUCUGAGCGAGAACAUGCGGUGUUUGGUUUUCUAUCCUUGUGAUAGUUUGCUCAGAAUGAUGAUUUCCAGCUUUAUCCAUGUCCCUGCAAAGGACAUGAACUCAUCCUUUUUUAUGGCUGCAUAGUAUUCCAUGGUGUAUAUGUGCCACAUUUUCUUUAUCCAGUCUGUUAUUGAUGGACAUUUGGGUUGGUUCCAAGUCUUUGCUAUUGUGAAUAGUGCCACAAUAAACAUACAUGUGCAUGUGUCUUUAUAGUAGCAUGAUUUAUAAUCCUUUGGGUAUAUACCCCAUAAUGGGAUUGCUGGGUCAAAUGGUAUUUCUAGUUCUAGAUCCUUGAGGAAUCACCACACUGUCUUCCACAAUGGUUGAACUAAUUUACACUCCCACUGACAGUGUAAAAAGCCUUCCUAUUUCUCCACGUCCUCUCCAGCAUCUGUUGUUUCCUGACUUUUUAAUGAUCGCCAUUCUAACUGGUGUGAGAUGGUAUGUCAUUAUGGUUUCAAUUUGCAUUUCUCUGAUGACCAGUGAUGAUGAGCCUUUUUUCAUGUGUCUGUUGGCUGCAUAAAUGUCUUCUUUUGGGAAGUGUCUGUUGAUAUCCUUUGCCCAGUUUUUGAUGGGGUUGUUUGUUUUUUCUUAUAAAUUUGUUUAAGUUCUUUGUAGAUUCUGGAUAUUAGCCCUUUGUCAGAUGGAUAGAUUGCAAAAAUUUUCUCCCAUUCUGUUGGUUGCUUGUUCACUCUGAUGAUAGUUUCUUUUGCUGUGCAGAAUCUCUUUAGUUUAAUUAGAUCCUAUUUGUCUAUUUUGGCUUUUGUUGCCGUUGCUUUUGGUGUUUUAGUCGUGAAGUCUUUGCCCAUGCCUAUGUCCUGAAUGGUAUUGCCUAGGUUUUCUUCUAGGGUUUUUAUGGUUUUAGGUCUUACAUUUAAGUCUUUAAUCCAUCUUGAGUUAAUUUUUUUAGAAGGUGUAAGGAAGGGAUCCAGUUUCAGCUUUCUACAUAUGGCUAGCCAGUUUUCCCAGCAUCAUUUAUUAAAUAGGGAAUCCUUUCCCCAUUGCUUGUUUUUGUCAGGUUUGUCAAAGAUCAGAUGGUUGUAGAUAUGUGGUGUUAUUUCUGAGGCCUCUGUUCUGUUUCAUUGGUCUAUAUAUCUGUUUUGGUACCAGCACCAUGCUGUUUUGGUUACUGUAGACUUGUAUAGUUUGAAGUCAGGUCUUGGCUAUGCAGGCUCUUUUUUGGUUCCAUGUGAACUUUAAAGUAGUUUUUUCCAAUUCUGUGAAGAAAGUCAUUGGUAGCUUGAUGGGGGUAGCGUUGAAUCUAUAAAUUACCUUGGGCAGGAUGGCCCUUUUCACAAUAUUGAUGUUUCCUAUCCAUGAGCAUGGAAUGUUCUUCCAUUUGUUUGUAUCCUCUUUUAUUUCGUUGAGCAGUGGUUUGUAGUUCUCCUUAAAGAGGUCCUUCACAUCCCUUGUAAAUUGGAUUGCUAGGUAUUUUAUUCUCUUUGUAGUAAUUGUGAAUGGGAGUUCACUCAUGAUUUGGCUCUCUGUUUGUCUGUUAUUGGUGUAUAGGAAUGCUUGUGAUUUUUGCACAUUGAUUUUGUAUCCUGAGACUUUGCUGAAGUUGCUUAUCAGCUUAAGGAGAUUUUGGGCUGAGAUGAUGGGGUUUUCUAAAUAUACAAUCAUGUCAUCUGCAAACAGAGACAAUUUGACUUCCUCUUUUCCUAAUUGAAUACCCUUUAUUUCUUUCUCUUGCCUGAUUGCCCUGGCUAAAACUUCCAAUACUCUGUUGAAUAGGAGUAGGGAGAGAGGGCAUCCUUGUCUUGUGCCAGUUUUCAAAGGGAAUGCUUCCAGUUUUUGCCCAUUCAGUAUGAUAUUGGCUGUGGGUUUGUCAUAAAUAGCUCUUAUUAUUUUGAGAUAUGUUCCAUCAAUACCUAGUUUAUUGAGAGUUUUUAGCAUGAAAGGCUGUUGAAUUUUGUUGAAGGCCUUUUCUGCAUCUAUUGAGAUAAUCAUGUGUUUUUUUUUCAUUGGUUCUGUUUAUGUGAUGGGUUAUGUUUAUUGAUUUGUGUAUGUUGAACCAGCCUUGCAUCCUAGGGAUGAAGCUGACUGGAUCAUGGUGGAUAAGCUUUUUGAUGUGCUGCUGAAUUCAGUUUGCCAGUAUUUUAUUGAGGAUUUUUGCAUUGAUAUUCAUUUGGGAUAUUGGCCUGAAAUUCUCUUUUUUUGUUGUUGUGUCUCUGCCAGGCUUUGGUAUCAGGAUGAUGCUGGCCUCAUAAAAUGAGUUAGGGAGGAUUCCUUUUUUUUCUAUUGAUUAGAAUAGUUUCAGAAGGAAUGGUAGCAGCUCCUCUUUGUACCUCUGGUAGAAUUCGGCUGUGAAUCUGCCUUGUUCUGGACUUUUUGUGGUUGGUAGGCUAUUCAUUAUUGCCUCAAUUUCAGAACCUAUUAUUGGUCUAUUCAGAGAUUCAACUUCUUCCUGGUUUAGUUUUGGGAGGGUGUAUGUGUCCAGGAAUUUAUCCAUUUCUUCUAGAUUUUCCAGUUUAUUUGCAUAGAGGUGUUUAUAGUAUUCUCUGAUGGUAGUUUGUAUUUCUGUGGGAUCAGUGGUGAUAUCCCCUUUAUCAUUUUUUUUAUUGCAUCUAUUGGAUUCUUCUCUCUUUUCUAUUAGUCUUGCUAGCAGUCUAUCUAUUUUGUUAAUCUUUUCAAAAAACCAGCUCCUGGAUUCAUUGAAUUUUUUUUGAAGGGUUUUUUGUGUUUCUAUUUCCUUCAGUUCUGCUCUGAUCUUAGUUAUUUCUUAUCUUCUGCUAGCUUUUGAAUUUGUUUGCCCUUCCUUCUCUAGUUCUUUUAAUUGUUAUGUUAGGGUGUCAAUUUUAGAUCUUUCCUGCUUUCUCUUGUGGGCAUUUAGUGCUAUAAAUUUCCCUCUACACACUGUUUUAAAUGUGUCCCAGAGAUUCUGGUACGUUGUAUCUUUGUUCUCAUUGGUUUCAAAGAACAUCUUUAUUUCUGCCUUCAUUUCGUUAUUUACCCAGUAGUCAUUCAGGAGCAGGUUGUUCAGUUUCCAUGUAGUUGUGCGGUUUUGAGUGAGCUUCUUGAUCCUGAGUUCUAAUUUGAUUGCACUGUGGUCUGAGAGACAGUUUGUUGUGAUUUCUGUUCUUUUACAUUUGCUGAGGAGUGUUUUACUUCCAGUUAUGUGGUCAAUUUUAGAAUAAGUGCGAUCUGGUGCUCAGAAGGAUGUAUAUUCUGUUGAUGUGGGUUGGAGAGUUCUGUAGAUGUCUAUUAGGUCCACUUGGUCCAGAGCUGAGUUCAAGUCCUGGAUAUCCUUGUUAACCUUCUGUCUCGUUGGUCUGUCUAAUACUGACAGUGCAGUGUCUCCCAUUAUUAUUGUGUGGGAGUCUAAGUCUCUUUGUAGGUCUCUAAGGACUUGCUUUAUGAAUCUGGAUGCUCCUGUAUUGGGUGCAUAUAUAUUUAGGAUAGUUAGCUCUUCUUGUUGAGUUGAUCCCUCUACCAUUAUGUAAUGGCCUUCUUUGUCUUGGCUUGUAGGGUUUCUGCUGAGAGAUCUGCUGUUAGUCUGAUGGGCUUCCCUUUGUGGGUAACCCUACCUAUUUCUCUGGCUACCCUUAACAUUUUUUCCUUCAUUUCAAUCUUGGUGAAUCUGUCAAUUAUGUGUCUUGGGUUGCUCUUCUUGAGGAGUAUCUUUGUGGUGUUCUCUGUAUUUCCUGAAUUUGAAUGUUGACCUGCCUUGCUAGGUUGGGGAAGUUCUCCUGGAUAAUAUUCUGAAGAGUGUUUUCUAACUUGGUUCCAUUCUCCCCGUCACUUUCAGGUACACCAAUCAAACAUAGAUUUGGUCUUUUCACAUAGUCCCAUAUUUCUUGGAGGCUUUGUUCGUUUCCUUUCACUCUUUUUUCUCUAAUCUUGUCUUCUCACUUUAUUUCAUUAAUUUGAUCUUCAAUCACUGAUAUCCUUUCUUCCGCUUGAAUGAAUUGGCUAUUGAUACUUGUGUAUGCUUCACGAAGUUCUCAUACUGUGGGUUUCAGCUCCACCAGGUGAUUUAAGCUCUUCUCUACACUGGUUAUUCUAGUUAGCCAUUCAUCUAACCUUUUCUCAAGGUUUUUAGCUUCCUUGCGAUGGCUUAGAACAUGCUCCUUUAGCUUGGAGAAGUUUGUUAUUACUGAUCUUCUGAAGCCUACUUCUGUCAACUCAUCAGACUCAUUCUCCAUCCAGGAGAACACGACAGGAGUUGUGUUCCUUUGGAGGAGAAGAGGCAUUCUGGUUUUUGGAAUUUUCAGCCUUUCUACUCUAGUUUCUCCCCAUCCUUGUGGUUUUAUCUACCUUUGGUCUUUGAUGUUGGUGACCUACAGAUGGGGUUUUGGUAUGGAUGUCCUUUUUGUUGAUGUUGAUGCUAUUCCUUUCUGUUUGUUAGUUUUCCUUCUAACAGACAGGCCCCUCAGCUGCAGGUCUGUUGGAGUUUGCUGGAAAUCCACUCCAGACCCUGAUUGCCUGGGUAUCACCAGUGGAGGCUGCAGAACAGCAAAUAUUGCUGCCUGAUCCUUCCUCCGGAAGGUUUGUCCCAGAGGAGCACCCGCCUGUAUGAGAUGUCUGUCAGCCCCUACUGGGAGGUGUCUCCCAGUCAGGCUACACGGGGGUCAGGGAGCCACUUAAGGAGGCAGUCUGUCCAUUAUCAGUGCUCGAACACUGUGCUAGGAGAACCACUGCUCUCUUCAGAGCUAUCAGGCAGGGACGUUUAAGUCUGCAGAGCUUUCUGCUGCCUUUUCUUCGGAUAUGCCCUUCCCCAGAGGUGGAAUCUAGGGAGGCAGUAGGCCUUGCUGAGCUGCGGUGGGCUCCGCCCAGUUCGAGCUUCCCUGCCACUUUGUUUACACUGUGAGCAUAGAACCACCUACUCAAGCCUCAGCAAUGGCGGACACCCCUCCCCCUGCCAAGCUCCAGCAUCCCCCGGUCGAUCUCAGAUUGCUGCGCUAGCAGCGAGCAAGGCUCCAUGGGCGUGGGACCCACCGAGCCAGGCACGGGAGGGAAUCUCCUGGUCUGCUGGUUGCAAAGACCGUGGGAAAGGUGCAGUAUUUGGGCAGAAGCGUACCAUUCCUGCAGGUACAGUCACUCACGGCUUCCCUUGGCUAGGAAAGGGAAAUCCCCCAACCCCUUGUGCUUCCCGGGUGAGGCAAUGCCCUGCCCUGCUUUGGCUCACCCUCCAUGGCUGCACCCACUGUCCAACCAUUCCCAAUGAGAUGAACCAGGUACCUCAGUUGGAAAGGCAGAAAUCACCCAUCUUUUGCAUCGAUCUUGCUGGGAGCUGUAAACUGGAGCUCUUCCUAUUCGGCCAUCUUGGAAGUGACUCCCAUGAUCCAGUUUUAUCUUUGUUCCACAGCUAACCAUUGUUGCAGCACCACUUAAUAAAAACUCAGUAUUUGUCCCAAUGUUUUGAAAUGCCACCUUGAAUGUAUACCACUUUUCCAUAUGCACUUAGGUUGAUUUCCGGCCUUUUUAUUCUGUUCUGCUGGUCCAUCUAUUCAUGCACCAGUACCGCACAGUUUUAAUUACAGAGGCUUUGUAGACGUUUUAAUGAAUAGUAGUGCUAGUCUCCAAUGCCCACUAUAGCUUUUUGCCCCUCAGUAUUUUCCUAGAUAUUCGCAGGAAUGUUUCUUUUUCCAUAUAAACUGUAGUAUCAACUUGCUUAGCCCCAGUAACAAAAACUGUCCUCAAAGUGUUCUUAAAAUUUAGAAUGACUUCUCAGCAUUAAAGGUGGGGAGAUAUCACAUGAAAAUUGUAUUUCUGGUUUCUCUUGAAAAUUGGGAAGCGCUGUCACAUGGGCUUUUUUUUUUUUUUUCCCACAUGACCUAUUGCUGUAGGUCAGCCUGCACACAGGCCUGUGCUCUUCAAGACCACGCAGGCCUCACCAUUCCCUCUGACAGCUCACUGCUGCCCUUCUUCACACACGCAAGUUCCCUGUGUGACAUCUGAGUUGGUGACUGUGGCUUCAGAUGAUCACGAAAGUAUGUUCCAGGCCCAUCCUCCACCCUCUAUUUCUCUGUCUCACAACACAAAUGUUAAGAAAUGGAUUUGUGUUGCUUUGUUCACUGCUGUUAUUUCCAGGACCUAAGAAGAGGGUGUGGGGCGUGUCUGGCCCUAGGUAAGUCUUUGUUCAAUGAAGGCAUGUCAUAGAUAGGAAACAAGAAAUGAUCAGAACAUGUUCUGUCUUCAGAAAACCAUUGAAAAUACAUCAAAUGGAACCACACACUGUGGGUGGGAGUGACUUGGUACAGCCCUUAUAGAGAACAAUUUGGCAAUAUUUGUCAAAAUUACAAACACAUAGAUCAGUUGUUCCUGCAGUUCCAUUUCUAGAAAUUUGUCCUAAAGUAUAUUUGCACACAGGAAAAAUGACGGUGUACAGGGUUAAUUAUUGCAGUAAUAAUAAAAGAUUGAAAAAACCUAAAUUUCCCUCAAAAGGGGACUGAUUAUAUAAACUAUGGUUUAUCCAUAUAUUGGAAGAAUGGAAUGUUAUACAGCUAUAAAAAGAAUAAGGGGCCAGGCACAGUGGCUCACGCCUGUAGUCCUAGCACUUUGGGAGGCCAAGGCAGGCUGAUCACUUGAGUUCAGGAGUUUGAGACCAGCCUGGCCAACUUGGUGAAAUCCCAUCUCUACUAAAAAUACACAAAUUAUCCAGGUGUUGUGACACUUGCCUGUAAUCCCAGCUACUUGAGAAGCUGAGGCAGGAGAAUUGCUUGAACCCAGGAGGUGGAGAUUGCAAUGAACCGAGAUUGCACCACUGUACUCCAGCCUUGGUGACAGAGUGAAACUGCCUCAAAACAAAACAAAACAAAGGGUGCUAUCUGUGAAAUGAGAGGGAAAACAUGAGGUGCAGAAUAACGUAUCUAGUGGGCUACCUUUUAUGUAUAAAAGGAAAACAACCCAAAGGAAAUAUUCAUAUUUGCUUGCAAGUAUGUAAAGAAAAUCUGUAUGGACUCAUAAGAAAAUAGUAACAAUGGUUAGAUGGAGGGUGGAGGAGGUAUGGCGAAGAAACUGGGCAGAUGAGGACAGGGUGGGAAGGAAAAUUCUAAUUCUCUCUUUCUCACUUUCCAUGACUUUGAGGAGUAGGUUUUAGAGCAAAUAUUUAUAUAUAAUGUAUGCAUACAUACAUACACAUAUAGUAAUAACAAAUAUGAAACUAAAGUGACAGUAGAAGAAGCCAUCAGACCCUGGAGACCAUAACUAUCCACAGGACACUGUGUAUGGCCACCAUCUGAUGGAGGCUCUAGGUCACUCACUGGAAUUUUCAUCCACUCUUGCUAGAAGAUAAUUUAUUGGGCAUGUUCCUUUCAUCUUGACAGAAAAGACAGUGAAAUAUGUUUCCACUCCUACUGUCUUGCACUCAGAUAAUCCCAGAGAGCACUUUACAGAUUGACAGCCAAUAAACCACUUCACCCAGUGGAGAAAUAGAGCAAAUUCCAAGAUGGAAUUGGUGACAUCCAUGCCACAGGGGAUGGCCCAGCAAAUGCUUCGUGAUAAAUAAGUUGAAAUAGCCCAGCUAGUGAAAUCUGCACUGAGAAUUUAGCAAAGAAAGAAUUUAUCAAGUUACUAUUGUUCUAGAAUGAUAGAAAGCAAAAUCUUCUAAACUAUUGAAAUACAAAUUCAGGAAGUCUUCCAAGAAUAACUCAGAUCUUAUAUAUAGAGUCUGGCACAUGGCAUAUGAUCAAUGUAAAAUGAAUUUUAAAAUAGAAAAUUUAUUAAACAGAGUGCUGUUACUCAAAUAAAUUAAAUGGAUGAAUCUGUUUCUGUCAUAGCAUAUAUAAAAAUAUUUUAAACUGGGGAGCCCAGAGAAUAAUUAAAACUUGGCCAGGUGCAGUGGCUUACGCCUGUAAUCCCAGCACUUUGGGAGGCUGGGGUGGAUGGAUCACCUGAGAUCAGGAGUUUGAGACCAGACUGGUCAAUAUGGUGAAACCCCAUUUCUACUAAAAAUACAAAAAGUUAGCCAGUUGUGGUGACGGGUGCCUGUAAUCCCAGCUACUAGGGAGGCUGAGGCAGGAGAAUCGCUUGAACCCAGGAGGAGGAGGUUGCAGUGAGCCAAGAUUAUGCUACUGUACUCCAGCCUGGACGACAGAGUGAGAAUCUGUCUAAAAAAAAAAUACUGUGGCAGAUGAUAUUUUUGUAUAUAUGUGUAUUUUAAUAAUUUUGUCCUUUUUUGGUCUAUAGUUUAAUUUUUUUCUGGGAUUGCCACUGUGUCUUUGGAGUUAUUAGUUUCCUUUUUUAAAAAAAAUUCUCAAAUGUCAAGCCAUUCUAUUUACACCUUUGCAGAGAUCUGAUGCAAAUUUCAACAUUUUUGGUAGGCUAAAUAUUGUUGUUUUAAUUCUGUAUGCCACAGCUCAGAGUCACAUUGUCAAAGUAUAAUAUUCACUUUAAAAAAACUUUAGCAUAAAUACCUCAGACUAAAUAUAUUUAUAUCCAGGGAAAAUGUUCAAACUGUUAAGCUAAGAGCAUACAGUUAAGCAUUCAUACAGACUUAUAUGAACAUAGACAUGAAAGGAAUCUAUAUUAAAUAGUACAAGAGGAAUGUAACAGCUUAGAAUCAAAAUAUGCCUCUGUUGCCUUUAUGUGUUUAAAACUAACAUUUUUUAGUAGCUGAAAUUGUAGAGAAAAUGUUGCCCAGAAGUACCCAUUGAUUUGAGGGCAUUUCACUCAUUGUUACAAGGAUGUGAAGAGUGAAUCUCCUUGGCAAUGAUAUCAUUUUGGAGACAGAGUAGGGAAAAUAGGUUACAAAACAGUGCAUAGAGAAUGGUUCCAUUUCAGUAAGGAUCAUCUUCUACGCUUCAUCAUAAUUCUCAAUUUCUCAAGAGUUCUGCAACCUGAGAUGAAUACAGUAGUCCCCUCUUAUCCAUGGGGUAUACUUUCUGAGACCCCCCUCUUAUCCAAGGGGGAUACUUUCUGAGAAUCCCCUCCCCUUAUCCAUGGGGGAUACUUUCUGAGAUUCCCACCCCCCCCCACCAGUGGAUGCCUGAAACUGCGAUAGUACCAAACUCUGUAUAUACUAUGUUUUUCCCUAUACAUACAUAUCUAUGAUAAAGUUUAAUUUAUAAACUAGGCACAGUAAUAGAGUAACACAAUAAUAAAAUAGAACAAUUAUAACAAUACGCCAGCGUCGCUUCUCUUCUGCUUUGGGGCCACUAUUCAUUCAAGUAAGGGUGACUUGAACCCAAGCACCAUAAUACCACUGCAGUCGAGCUGUUAACCAAGACGAAGUGACUAACGGGCAGGCCGCGUGGCUGAUUCACAUCCCAGGUGGGACGGAGCAGGAUGUGUAAGAUUUCAUUACGCUACUCAAAACGGCAUGCAACUUAACACUUACAAAAUAUUUAUUUCUGGAAUUUUCCAUUUAAUAUUUUCAGACUGCAGUUGACAGCAGAUAACUGAAAGCUCGGAAAGCGAAACCGUGGAUAAGCAGGGGAACUGUGGCAUCCCAUUUAAAAUUGCUUCUGAAGAGAAGCAUGAGGUUACAUCUGUAAUCUCCCUGCAGCAGAGUCAACUGCAUAAGAAACCAAAAGACACACCUGCUCCAUGCCAGGUUAGUACCCAC